RNAcentral lists this ribosomal RNA (433 nucleotides) under uncultured bacterium. RNAcentral describes it as "partial 16S ribosomal RNA". It matches the Rfam family "Bacterial small subunit ribosomal RNA", at positions 29 to 507 of the family's 1533-position model. The record is from RNAcentral.
AGCGAACGCUGGCGGCAGGCCUAACACAUGCAAGUCGAACGAACUCUUCGGAGUUAGUGGCGGACGGGUGAGUAACACGUGGGAACGUGCCUUUUGGUUCGGAAUAACUCAGGGAAACUUGUGCUAAUACCGAAUGUGCCCUUCGGGGGAAAGAUUUAUCGCCAUUAGAGCGGCCCGCGUCUGAUUAGCUAGUUGGGGAGGUAACGGCUCACCAAGGCGACGAUCAGUAGCUGGUCUGAGAGGAUGACCAGCCACACUGGGACUGAGACACGGCCCAGACUCCUACGGGAGGCAGCAGUGGGGAAUCUUGCGCAAUGGGCGAAAGCCUGACGCAGCCAUGCCGCGUGAAUGAUGAAGGUCUUAGGAUUGUAAAAUUCUUUCACCGGGGACGAUAAUGACGGUACCCGGAGAAGAAGCCCCGGCUAACUUCGUG